Molecule: ribosomal RNA, 455 nt
Filed under: uncultured bacterium
Lineage: Bacteria
Description: SSU rRNA
Rfam family: Bacterial small subunit ribosomal RNA
Source: RNAcentral
AGAACGAACGCUGGCGGCAGGCCUAACACAUGCAAGUCGAACGCCCCGCAAGGGGAGUGGCAGACGGGUGAGUAACGCGUGGGAACAUACCUUUCGGUUCGGAAUAGCUCAGGGAAACUUGGAUUAAUACCGGAUACGUCCUUGGUUUAACGACUUUGGAGAAAGAUUUAUCGCCGAAAGAUUGGCCCGCGUCCGAUUAGCUAGUUGGUGAGGUAAUAGCUUACCAAGGCGACGAUCGGUAGCUGGUCUGAGAGGAUGAUCAGCCACACUGGGACUGAGACACGGCCCAGACUCCUACGGGAGGCAGCAGUGGGGGAUAUUGGACAAUGGGCGCAAGCCUGAUCCAGCCAUGCCGCGUGAGUGAUGAAGGCCCUAGGGUUGUAAAGCUCUUUCGUCAGGGACGAUAAUGACGGUACCUGAAGAAGAAGCCCGGCUAACUUCGUGCCAGCAGCCGC